RNAcentral lists this ribosomal RNA (254 nucleotides) under uncultured bacterium. RNAcentral's name for it is "partial 16S ribosomal RNA". It matches the Rfam family "Bacterial small subunit ribosomal RNA", at positions 524 to 776 of the family's 1533-position model. The record is from RNAcentral.
UACGAAGGGGGGCUAGCGUUGCUCGGAAUGACUGGGCGUAAAGGGCGCGUAGGCGGUUCGUACAGUCAGACGUGAAAUUCCUGGGCUCAACCUGGGGGCUGCGUUUGAUACGUGCGGACUUGAGUGCGGAAGAGGGUCGUGGAAUUCCCAGUGUAGAGGUGAAAUUCGUAGAUAUUGGGAAGAACACCGGUGGCGAAGGCGGCGACCUGGUCCGAUACUGACGCUGAGGCGCGAAAGCGUGGGGAGCAAACAGG